Molecule: ribosomal RNA, 274 nt
Filed under: uncultured bacterium
Lineage: Bacteria
Description: partial 16S ribosomal RNA
Rfam family: Bacterial small subunit ribosomal RNA
Source: RNAcentral
AGACGGAGGGUGCAAACGUUGCUCGGAAUCACUGGGCAUAAAGCGCACGUAGGCGGCAUUCUAAGUCAGAUGUGAAAUCCCUCGGCUCAACCGAGGAACUGCAUCUGAUACUGGAAUGCUCGAGGACGGUAGGGGUGAGUGGAACUCCAGGUGGAGCGGUGAAAUGCGUAGAUAUCUGGAGGAACACCAGUGGCGAAAGCGGCUCACUGGACCGUCUCUGACGCUGAGGUGCGAAAGCCAGGGUAGCGAACGGGAUUAGAAACCCCAGUAGUCC